This 69-nucleotide transfer RNA is filed under the name Tegula lividomaculata. RNAcentral's name for it is "tRNA-Arg". Lineage: Eukaryota; Metazoa; Mollusca; Gastropoda; Trochida; Tegulidae. The record is from RNAcentral.
UUGUGGAAAGUGAGAAAAUUACAUACGAUUUCGGCUCGUUUUUUGGUAGUGCAAGUCUGCCUCCACUAG